Gadus morhua (Atlantic cod) is the source of this 498-nucleotide long non-coding RNA. RefSeq lists it as uncharacterized. NCBI's taxonomy places the organism in Eukaryota, Metazoa, Chordata, Actinopteri, Gadiformes, Gadidae. The transcript has 2 exons. The record is from RefSeq and is a predicted model, not a curated record.
UUAACGUUUCGGGGCUGUCGGGCUGAUUACUGCGGAAUAACAAUAUUGCGUUUAUAAAAGUUUCUUGCAGCGCCAUCCGGCAGCCUGAGCUGUUCGUCCGCAAACCUCUCACAAACUGUCAACGUCGCCACCAAGCCGAUUGGUGAGCCUUGAACUGCGAUUGGUCAGAAAGAGCAGGUAACAGAUCCUGCCUGGCCUCGACUACGUUACCCGCCUCGUCCUUCUGGAUCCUCGUUCGCCUGUCUCCUGUCCCGGCUUCCCGACCCUGCCUGUCCCUGACUACGUUCCCCGUCUCGUCUUUCUGGAUCCUCGUUCGCCUGUCUCCUGUCCUGGCUUCCCGACCCUGCCUGUCCCCGACUACGUUCCCCGUCUCGUCCCUCUGGAUCCUCGUUCGCCUGUCUUAUGUCCCGGUUUCCCGAUCCUGCCUGUCCCCGACUACGUUCUCCGCCCCGUCCCCGUUGAUUUGCUUGACGAAGUAAAGAUCGGAAUAUCAUAGUA